RNAcentral lists this ribosomal RNA (253 nucleotides) under uncultured bacterium. RNAcentral's name for it is "partial 16S ribosomal RNA". It matches the Rfam family "Bacterial small subunit ribosomal RNA", at positions 524 to 776 of the family's 1533-position model. The record is from RNAcentral.
AACGUAGGGCGCAAGCGUUAUCCGGAAUUACUGGGCGUAAAGGGCUCGUAGGCGGCCAACUAAGUCAGACGUGAAAUCCCUCGGCUUAACCGGGGAACUGCGCUUGAUACUGGAUGGCUUGAGUUUGGGAGAGGGAUGCGGAAUUCCAGGUGUAGCGGUGAAAUGCGUAGAUAUCUGGAGGAACACCGGUGGCGAAGGCGGCAUCCUGGACCAACACUGACGCUGAGGAGCGAAAGCCAGGGGAGCAAACGGG